RNAcentral lists this ribosomal RNA (208 nucleotides) under uncultured bacterium. RNAcentral's name for it is "partial 16S ribosomal RNA". It matches the Rfam family "Bacterial small subunit ribosomal RNA", at positions 568 to 774 of the family's 1533-position model. The record is from RNAcentral.
CGUGUAGGCGGCCACCGCAAGUCGACUGUGAAAUCUCCGGGCUUAACUCGGAAAGGUCAGCCGAUACUGCGGGGCUAGAGUGCAGAAGGGGCAACUGGAAUUCUCGGUGUAGCGGUGAAAUGCGUAGAUAUCGAGAGGAACACCUGCGGCGAAGGCAGCAGAUUGGGCCGGUACUGACGCUCAGGCACGAAAGCAUGGGGAUCAAACA